This 75-nucleotide transfer RNA is filed under the name Castellaniella defragrans. Its description in RNAcentral is "tRNA-Arg". It matches the Rfam family "tRNA". Rfam says of the family: Transfer RNA (tRNA) molecules are approximately 80 nucleotides in length. Lineage: Bacteria; Pseudomonadati; Pseudomonadota; Betaproteobacteria; Burkholderiales; Alcaligenaceae. RNAcentral also lists the same sequence under 1 other name. The record is from RNAcentral.
GCGCCUGUAGUUCAAUGGAUAGAAUGGAAGUCUCCGAAGCUUCUGAUACAGGUUCGAUUCCUGUCGGGCGCGCCA